RNAcentral lists this small nuclear RNA (107 nucleotides) under Procavia capensis (Cape rock hyrax). Lineage: Eukaryota; Metazoa; Chordata; Mammalia; Hyracoidea; Procaviidae. The record is from RNAcentral.
GUGCUUUCUUCAGCAGCACGUAUAUUAAAAUUGAAAUGAUGCAGAGAAGAUUAGCAUGGCCUCUGCACAAGGAUGACAUGCAAAUUCAUGAAGCGUUCCAUAUUUUU